UAAUUAAAAGCGUGUUUUGACGUCAAAAUUAAUAAAAUUCAAAAUUAAAAGUUCAUAAUAUAAGGUUCAUCGCAAAUCCUAACACAAAAAACUCUAGCCUAGCAUGACGGCAGAAUUAAACAAAUAAAAGGAGAAUGACGUCACCAAAAAUUGACGAAACAUGAUCUACAUCCAAAUUCCUUCCGAAAGCAAUCUAAAAUUUUCCUUCAACAGCUUGCUGCCUCUCCGUCCAUGCGAACUGUUUAAGUCUUGGAUUCUUGUAUGUGUAUAAUAAUCUGCUCAGCCGCCCACUUUUGUGUCCAAUUCCAGCCUCCCAAUAUGUUUUUUGUGCGUGCAUCUAUAAUGCAAUUCAGCUGCUUCAGUUUUCUGUGAAUAAGGUUCCAAUUCAGCCCAAUGUCCCCCAAGCAGCCUCUUCAAAUCUGUCGAUUUUCUACCUGUCUAUAUAUUAUAUUCUCUUCUGCCCCCAACCUCGGCUUCUGUGGGAAUUAUAUAUGUCUAUAGGUCAACUUUUUCAACCCACCAAUAUACCCCCCAGCAGUUGGCCGACUUCUCUUUCUUUUCACCGCUUCAAUUUGUCGUUUUAUAUUUUCAAUUAAGCCCCCGGCCAGACUUCUCAAAAAAUGAGACCCAGUUUCUAUUCCAUUCCAAUUGGUCUUAUGCCUAAUUAAAUGUAAUUUAUUUUCCAAGGCUUCUCUUCAUGGAAUUAAGGUAUUUUAGUCCUCGAAUUGAUUUAAUAGUGCUACUCAUAUCCUUUUUUUGGUUCAACACAAGACCUUCAAUUUGCAAAGUGUGGGAUAUUGUCUACAAACUUUCAUUCAACGGCCAACUUGUCCUUCUUCUCUUUCCAAAUGCUUCAAACGAGUCCGUCACCAAAAACAAAAGAAAAUUAACCAAAGUUAAGUAAAAGUUAAUAAUUCGACAACAUAAAAGUUUAAUUAUACAGUACAAAUAAGUAAACAAAAUGCACUUAUCCACACCCCCAAGCCAAAACCUUUGUUCGUCCUCGAACAAAACAAAAUAAAACUUAGGUAUGACACAUUUCUAACCUAAAAAAUCACAAAUAAAAGUCUCAAUGUUGAACUACUUACCAUAUGCCUUAGGUUUGAAUUUAAGCAAUAUUUUAGAAAGAUCCAAACAACAUCAAAAAUAAAAAUUUUUGCUUACCCAAUACUCAAUUUAGUGUGCGUGAGAUUAGUCAAUAUUGAACUAACACUUAUAUUAAAAUACAACCAAUCAAGCGUUGUUGAUUUAUUCAUAGUUCCAACCCUCUUGUG
Molecule: long non-coding RNA, 1274 nt
Filed under: Olea europaea subsp. europaea
Lineage: Eukaryota; Viridiplantae; Streptophyta; Magnoliopsida; Lamiales; Oleaceae
Source: RNAcentral